Molecule: long non-coding RNA, 2696 nt
Filed under: Anser cygnoides (Swan goose)
Lineage: Eukaryota; Metazoa; Chordata; Aves; Anseriformes; Anatidae
Description: lncRNA (ENSACDG00005015149.1)
Source: RNAcentral
GAACUUGUCAAGGAGCAGGAGGGAUGGCCGCACGCAUCCCUUGCUACAUCCUGGGAGGCUGCUACUGCUUCAUCCUGCUGCUCCUGCAGCUGCUCUUCCACCUGUGCUGGCUGCGGGGCAGCCGCCAGCAGCAGGGCAGACGUGGGGAAGCCUGCGGCUGCUGCUGGGGAGAGGGGAGCCAGCGUGCGGGAGCAGCCAGGGCCGGCACCCCAGGCUGGCAGCAGCAGCCGCCCCGCAGUGCCCAGGCAGAAUGAAGGCGCUCAGCUGGUGGCUCAGGGCUGCUUUUCCUCCUGGCACCUGCCCCUCUGCGGGACAAACCGGGGUCCUGGCCGCUGCCUGUCCCCAGGCACCGUCCUGCCUCCAGCGCACAACCACUCCCCACACUCACAUACCCCUUCUGUUAAAUUCCCACUCCCAUGGGCAAAUAAAAACCUUUCCUCUGGCAUCUCUGUCUCCAAAGUGCCUGGCAUGCGGCUGCAGAACCACCUGAAGCAGUUCCAGCAGCAAAGCGAGGGCCGGAAGAGAUUCCCAAAGCUUCUGGCCUGCCCCAGGAGGACCCAGGGGCUGCUUUGGUGGGGCAGGGGCUGCUUGGCUGCUGAGGCUGAAGGGUGACAGCUGAAGGAAGGCCCGGUGAGCUGCAUCCCCUGGAAAAUCCCCCCAAAAACGGGGAUGCGAUGGACGCGUUUUGCUGGCAGCUCCCUGCUGCGUGCGUGGAAGGGGUGCUGGGGCAGAAGCAGCGCCCACGGUGGGGGCACAGGGGACACCCCGCAGCCCCCCUCUCUCCCCACAGCCCCACAGUGUGCAGGUGGCACAGGAAGGAGCCGGGGCUCGCCCGCCCGCAGCGAACCCCACGGCGCCGAGGGGCUGAGCGAGAGCCUCCGACUUCCUCCCGGCCCAGGCGAGCGCAGCAGCCACAGGCGAUGUGUCCCGGCCGGCGCUGCUGGGGCCUCGGCUCCCUCCUGCUGCUGCUGCUGCUCGGGAGAAACCUGGGCUUCCUCGUGGAAAUCCCGCAGGAUGCAGUCAGUGGCACCGUGGGGCAGUCCGUGCUCCUGCCCGUCUCCUACACAUUCAACAGCUCCCCUCGCUUCCCAGUGUCGAUUCAGUGGAUGUUUGGUCACCCCUCACAAUGCUUCACAUUCGGGCCAUGUUGAGCUCUUCCCCGAGAACGCAUCCCUGCUGCUGCGGGACCUGAGGCUCAGUGACAGCGGGGUGUACAACGUCAGCUUUGUACAGCAACAACAAAGCAGGCACAUCACCCUGACCGUGCUCGAGCAGCCUGUCCCCACAGGCCCUUCCAGUGAAGGGAGAAACCUGGGCUUCCUCGUGGAAAUCCCGCAGGAUGCAGUCAAUGGCACCGUGGGGCAGUCCGUGCUCCUGCCCGUCUCCUACACAUUCAACAGCUCCCCUUGCUUCCCAGUGUCAAUUAAGUGGACGUUUGGUCAUCCCUCACAAGUAGUCAUCUCCUGCACAGUGCUGAACUGCUCCCUGGGUGCUGGGGGCGCUCCCAAGAACUGUACCGCAAAGUGUUUCCCCAGUGCUUCACGUUCACGCCGUGUUGAGCUCUUCCCCGAGAACGCGUCCCUGCUGCUGCAGGACCUGAAGCUCAGUGACAGCGGGGUGUACAAUGUCAGCUUUGUACAGCAACAACAAAGCAGGCACAUCACCCUGACCGUGCUCAAGCAGCCUGUCCCCACAGGCCCUUCCAGCGAAGGCACCAGCAAUCAAGACCACACCCAUAACUACAUAAUUGGAGCUUGCUCAUUAAUCUUCCUCCUUCUGCUGUUCCUGGUCUUCUGCGUUUGGCGCUGGGUGCAGCAGAAGAAGAGGAGAAUCGUUAAACAACAGCAGGCCCUGAACACACAGGAGCCCCACGUGGACAACACUGCGGCGAGGGAAGUAAUGACCAUUUAUUCCAGAGUCGGAGACAGCUUUGAACAUCCAGAGCUGAGAGCAUCACCACAGCUCAUCUACUCAUCCAUAACCUCCCUCGAUUCCUGAGGACAGGACUGGGCACCACCAGCUCCUGCUUUGGCUGCAGGAGCUGCCCAGAGCAGAGCUCUGAACUUUGCAGGAGAUAGCCCUGCCACAAAGGUGGCUGGUGAUUUUGUCACUGACCAGAGAAAUGUGCCCAAGGUAAAGGCAAAUCAGCAGUGCAUCCGUGGGAAGCCUUAUUCCACUGACUCGCCUUAAUCUGAGGGCUAACGGAGAGCACUGAAUGUAUUUCAGUCCUGUGCUCCAGGGUCACUUACCAAUUGUCUUGUCAUAUUAAAAGAAUGCAUGAAGAAGAUCUUUUGACCUGGAAAGCUGUCCAUAUUUUUAUGAGUAUGCCAAGUCACUGUAGAGCAGACUCUUCCUGCCAUGAAAUCUGCUUGGCCUUGGGAUCCCAGGGCAAUAGGUUCCUCUGCUGAUCUUUUGAAGAGUCCCCUUAAAGGGCAAGGGGAUGGGACUUACUGUACAAUGGAGUUCCUGGUACGUGGUGGCAUUCCUUUAAAGCUGUUUGUACAGGUGGAAGAAAGCUGAGAUGCCUAACUCUGUUUUAAAAUUAAAAGCCACAUCUCCCCUAGCAGCACCAGCUUUUUUAAAAUGCAGUAAGGGCAUAAAUUGAUUUUGUUUUGCUCUGGGCUUCAUGGAAAACAAGACAGUACAUACCGAAACAUGGAGCCCCAUCAGUAAUAAAUGGAUGCUAGGACAGGACA